GAGUGAGUGGUGGGUGAGUGGUGAGUGAGCUAGUGAGUGGUGAGUGGUGAGUGAGCUGGUGAGUGGUGAGCUAGUGAGUGGUGAGUGAUGAGUGGUGAGUGGUGAGUGAGUGGUGAGUGAUGAGUGAGUGGUGAGUAGUGAGUGAUGAGUGGUGAGUGAGUGGUGAGUGAGUGAUGAGUGGUGAGUGGUGAGUGAGUGGUGAGUGAUGAGUGAGUGGUGAGUGAUGAGUGAGUGGUGAGUGAUGAGUGAGUGGUGAGUGAGUGGUGAGUGGUGAGUGGUGAGUGAGUGAUGAGUGAGUGGUGAGUGGUGAGUGAGUGGUGAGUGGUGAGUCAGUGGUGAGUGGUGAGUGGUGAGUGAGUGGUAAGUGGUGAGUGAGUGGUGAGUGAGUGGUGAGUGGUGGGUGAGUGAGUGAUGAGUGAAUCUGAAGGCCAGGACAUUACUGUGCACUGCUGUAGACUUCAUAAGUACUGUACACUUG
This 478-nucleotide long non-coding RNA is filed under the name Pan troglodytes (chimpanzee). RNAcentral's name for it is "long non-coding RNA NONPTRT009427". Lineage: Eukaryota; Metazoa; Chordata; Mammalia; Primates; Hominidae. The record is from RNAcentral.